RNAcentral lists this ribosomal RNA (175 nucleotides) under uncultured bacterium. RNAcentral's name for it is "partial 16S ribosomal RNA". It matches the Rfam family "Bacterial small subunit ribosomal RNA", at positions 335 to 524 of the family's 1533-position model. The record is from RNAcentral.
ACUCCUACGGGAGGCAGCAGUGGGGAAUAUUGCGCAAUGGGGGAAACCCUGACGCAGCGACGCCGCGUGAGUGAAGAAGGCCUUCGGGUCGUAAAGCUCUGUCCUUGGGGAAGAAAGAAAUGGCGGUACCCGAGGAGGACGCCCCGGCUAACUUCGUGCCAGCAGCCGCGGUAAU